UACGUAGGGGGCAAGCGUUGUCCGGAUUUAUUGGGCGUAAAGAGCUCGUAGGCGGCUUGGCAAGUCGGGUGUGAAAACUCCAGGCUCAACCUGGAGAUGCCACUCGAGACUGCUAUGGCUAGAGUCCGGUAGGGGACCACGGAAUUCCUGGUGUAGCGGUGAAAUGCGCAGAUAUCAGGAGGAACACCAAUGGCGAAGGCAGCACUCUAGGACGUGACUGACGCUGAGACGCGAAAGCGUGGGGAGCGAACAGG
Molecule: ribosomal RNA, 254 nt
Filed under: uncultured bacterium
Lineage: Bacteria
Description: partial 16S ribosomal RNA
Rfam family: Bacterial small subunit ribosomal RNA
Source: RNAcentral